RNAcentral lists this ribosomal RNA (121 nucleotides) under Bison bison bison. The record is from RNAcentral. Lineage: Eukaryota; Metazoa; Chordata; Mammalia; Artiodactyla; Bovidae.
GUCUCAGGCCGUAUCAGCCUGAAGGCGCCCGAUCUCGUCUCGAUCUCGGAAGCUAAGCAGGGACGGGCCUGGUUAGGAUCUUGGUUGGGAGACCACCUGGGAAUCCCGGGUGCUCGAGGCU